Molecule: ribosomal RNA, 330 nt
Filed under: uncultured bacterium
Lineage: Bacteria
Description: bacterial SSU rRNA
Rfam family: Bacterial small subunit ribosomal RNA
Source: RNAcentral
GACGAACGCUGGCGGCGUGCCUAACACAUGCAAGUCGAACGGGACCAGGGGCAACUCUGGUUCAGUGGCGGACGGGUGCGUAACACGUGAGGAACAUGACCUUGGCGGGGGAGUAGCCGGCCCAACCGGCCGGGUAAGUACCGCGUACGACCACAUGGGGACGAUCCCUGAGUGGUGAAAGCAGCAAUGCGCCGAUGGAGUGCCUCGCGGCCUAUCAGCUAGUUGGUGAGGUAACGGCNCACCAAGGCGACGACGGGUAGCUGGUCUGAGAGGAUGGCCAGCCACAUUGGGACUGAGACACGGCCCAGACUCCUACGGGAGGGCAGCAGU